UUUCAUUCAAUUUCGCAUUUUGAAAUGAAUUCUCAAAUCUGCUGGCGCUUUCGGUAUUCUGGGCCUACUCAAAUUGCAGCCAGGAGUAGGAAGGCAGGGGCUGUCCAGUGAGUUUAGUGGAUGCCAAGAGCAAGUUUGUCGAUAGGAACUGAGGACUCUCUUCUCGAGUAAAACCCCUUGGGUAUUAGUGGCAGACACUCUGGUGAGCAUCAGAUUCCCUCGGGGUUUCUCGGGGAGUAGGGUUUGGAUCCCCCCCAUGGAGUUGGUACGGCCUCUUCGCCGCCGCUCCCCCCGACCCCAGCAAAGCGCUGUCCUACGCUGGGCGGCCUGGGAGUCCGCGGCACGCGUUGGAGUCCGGCGAAGACUCUUGCGCUGGCCAGUGCAGGAAGCAGUGAACCGUGGCGGCGAGGAGACUGCUGAGGAGUGUGCAGAGCCCUCGCGGCACAGCUGGCCGCCGCGCCGCCUCCGUGCAGCCGUUGGAGGAGCGGCCUAGUCGAAGCCCGAGAUGAGGGCUGAGCUGGCGGAGGAGGCAGCCUCGGACCCCGCCGCGUGGCUCCCGCUGCUGCCUACAGAGGAGCCAGUGACUCAGGCCGAGGCCAAGCCCCCAGGGGAGCAGGCCUGUGAACAGUACGCCAAGGGGACGCCCUGGCCGAGGGCAGCGCGACUGAGAUCGCCGAGGUCGCUGAGCCCUACUUCGGCGACCCCGAGGACUUCUUGGAUGGCGUGAGCGCGGAAGAAUUGCUUGGCGCAGACAAUGUUCUUCAGGUGGGACCUGACAGACUUGAACAUCUUUAAAAUGUCACUCACAGAUCUUUUACAAAUUUGGUAAAAUCAUAAUUAUUUUCCUGAAGAGAAUGGAAAAACAAAAGGAGAUCGAACUCAGGACCUUGCGCCUGUGAGUGCUACUGAGCUAAAUCCCUGGGCCUAACAGAAUAUUCUUGAAACACACCUGGUGAGCAUGCGCACAGAAGCAGAAGAGCAGAGUUAACAGAACAUUCUUGAAGUGUCUGGUAAUAACACGGUACAGCUCAAACAGUUACAGAACAUUUUGAUACAUUGGGCAGGGACAGGUGCAGCACAAAUGGUUACAUUUCUGGAACAACAUUUUAUGGAAAAAAACAUGGGGAGGGGCAGAGGCAAAGGCUUACCCUGUUGUGUAUUAAUUGCUUUAUCAUUUCCCCACUUUGAUCCCCCUUUCUAGGCUUAGGGCAUCAUUAGUAGCUACAGGGUUACAGUUCAAGUGAGCUCACACCAGUAGUUGAUGUACUGACUGUCUUGUGAGAGCCUGAACCUGGUCUUGUAGGAGCUCUGUGAGGCACCUGAACAGACAUGGGCCAAUUGUCAGCAACAGGAAGAUGAGAACCAAUGUUCUGAGCAGAGGGGCCAACCAUGUCGUCCAGUUAUCCCAAGAGAAACUCCAAAAUCCGCUGGUUUGGUAUUGUUCCUGGAGUUUGGCGGCUCUGUCUCAGAGACUUUUUACAGCUUGAUGAGUGACCCCUGAUCUGUUAACAUAGAAACAAUGCUCUACCCUGAGAAAGAUACAGGCACUCCCUUUUUCUACUGUUAGUAAGUCCAAGCCUUGGUGGGUUUGAAGAAUGACUGCAGCUAAAGAGUCUGUAUCUCUUUUUGUAUGUCUGUUAUAGAAUUAGAGAUUUCUUUUAAGCUGUUGGUUAACUCCUGAGAGAUUAACUGGUAGGUGAGGGCUGCAGUGGUUAUGCCUGUGACUCUGGCUCCAAUCCCUAAAGUUAUUCGUAAGCCUACUAUUGGGUAUCAGGAAGGGAGCUCAGUGUUGUUGAGUGUGAGCCUGGACUGAGAUUGGAAAGUCAGUGUCCCCAGGGGCAAUGUCUUAUCUUGGGGCUAAGUUAGGAAGAGUGCAGGUUCUGUCCAGUUAGCAGGGAGGCAGAGGUAGACAGAAGUCCUGCAGAGCCACAAAAUGCCAGAACAGUACAAACAAAUGGUUGUAGACACUAUAGUGAUGUACAAUAGCUCCUUUAUCUCCUUCCCAUGCAUUCAGUGUAAAGGCUAGAGCUGCUUCCUCAAGAAGGGAGUGCUUGUCCUGUGUGAGUCUAUUGGAUAGCACCUUGAGUUUUGUUUCCCAGUGUAAGAGGAACCUGUUUGUAUCAAUUAGUAACCACUCUUGUGAGCCCUUGAGAUUGGGGAAGAGUAGGCAGUUGGAAGGGGUUCAGGCUGCUGUGGUUCCCCCAGAAGAAGUCACCUAGGUAAGGGAGUUUGAGUCCCUCACAAAAGUGUCCCUUGCUUCACAUUGAUCAGCUGGGAAGUAUCUAGUCUGAGCUGGCCAGUGAGGUAGUAUUGUUUGUUUGUUUUUUGAGGUCUUUUUUUUGGUACCCGAGAUUGAACUCAGGACCUUGUGCUUGUGAGGCAGAUAGUGGAACCACUGAGCUAAAUCCCUGGCCUGAGGCAGUAUUGUUGAGUGCCUGAGUUGACCCCAUAGUAAGAUGUUUGUGGGGUAUGUAUAAGAUUAAGGUGAAGUUACAGUCAGAGCAAUAGAUGUCCCAAUGUCUUGGGAGGAUUUGAGCCCUCUGGAGGAGAGGGCUGCUUUAUACAGAGGAAGGCCUGGAAGGCGAGCUUAACAUCAGUAGAGAUGGGACCAAAUAUAAGUCUGUGUGUUGUGGCCUGACUUUUUCUGUGGAAGUCCUCUUUAAGUGAAGGAGCAACCUUAGUGGAAGGAGGGUUUUUAAGAUCUACAGUAGGAUGAUAGGCUGAUGUGGACAAUGCCCAAACCUCGGGUGAGACGGAUGGCCUCUAAAGGCUGAGGAAAUAGGCAUAACCAGCAGUCUUCUGUGAGACUGGGGCAAGACUUGUUUAGUAAGGCAUGGACCAGCUCUAGGUGUUAGAGAAGUAAGGGGAUAGUGUGUCUGGCUGUCAUGACCCAAGACUGUCACCAUGGAGACCAACAGCAACAUCAGAUUUUUGGUGCUGGCCAUUAUCAAUUUAGGU
This is a long non-coding RNA of Heterocephalus glaber (naked mole-rat), 2958 nucleotides long. RefSeq lists it as uncharacterized. Lineage: Eukaryota; Metazoa; Chordata; Mammalia; Rodentia; Bathyergidae. The record is from RefSeq and is a predicted model, not a curated record.